Molecule: long non-coding RNA, 529 nt
Filed under: Hordeum vulgare
Lineage: Eukaryota; Viridiplantae; Streptophyta; Magnoliopsida; Poales; Poaceae
Description: long non-coding RNA (HVUL_LNC016033)
Source: RNAcentral
UCCGCCGGUCCUCGUCCAGGAGGUUCGAGGAAUCAAGCAGCUAGCUAGUCUUCUCCCUCUCUACCCGCUGCCUGUUUCUCUCCUCUAGUCCUUCCUUGCCUGAAAAACUACUCAGGCAGCGUCUAUGCAACUUACAGAGCUAUCUGUACUGUCAGCCAAACCACGGCAUACUUCCAUCCCAUGCAUUUAGGUAGAGAAAAACACAGUCCGAUACAAGUACAUAUAUAGCGAAUGAAGCAUAUAUAUAUGAUUAUGAUCCAGAAUCACAUCGCCAAUCAGAGUUCAAGUACGAUAACAAAGAGUGAUGUAUCUGCACUCCAUCAAUCCAGUCAGGAACGAUGACAAGAAAACGGAAAAGAAAUCCAGAAUCCAGGUAUAACUUGGGUGAUCGCACCCUACGUCCUAAUAACACAACAGGAAUGGCAUAACAAGUGUCUUGCCGGUAAAGGAAAGGAAAUUGGCACGAGGUGCUGACAACCUCAUUUGCAGUCCAAACCUCAGGUUCUCACAUCUCCAGUGGCCGAAAGCU